AUACGGAGGGUGCAAGCGUUAUUCGGAAUCACUGGGCGUAAAGGACGCGUAGGCGGGUUGGCAAGUCAGAUGUGAAAUCCUACAGCUUAACUGUAGAACUGCAUUUGAAACUGCUAACCUCGAGGAUGGGAGGGGGAGAUGGAAUUAGUGGUGUAGGGGUAAAAUCCGUAGAUAUCACUAGGAAUACCGAAAGCGAAGGCGAUCUCCUGGAACAUAACUGACGCUAAGGCGUGAAAGCGUGGGGAGCAAACAGGAUUAGAUACCCUAGUAGUCC
This 274-nucleotide ribosomal RNA is filed under the name uncultured bacterium. RNAcentral's name for it is "partial 16S ribosomal RNA". It matches the Rfam family "Bacterial small subunit ribosomal RNA", at positions 523 to 796 of the family's 1533-position model. The record is from RNAcentral.